GAUGAACGCUGGCGGCGUGCCUAAUACAUGCAAGUCGAGCGAACAGACGAGGAGCUUGCUCCUCUGACGUUAGCGGCGGACGGGUGAGUAACACGUGGAUAACCUACCUAUAAGACUGGGAUAACUUCGGGAAACCGGAGCUAAUACCGGAUAAUAUAUUGAACCGCAGGGUUCAAUAGUGAAAGACGGUUUUGCUGUCACUUAUAGAUGGAUCCGCGCCGCAUUAGCUAGUUGGUAAGGUAACGGCUUACCAAGGCAACAAUGCGUAGCCGACCUGAGAGGGUGAUCGGCCACACUGGAACUGAGACACGGUCCAGACUCCUACGGGAGGCAGCAGUAGGGAAUCUUCCGCAAUGGGCGAAAGCCUGACGGAGCAACGCCGCGUGAGUGAUGAAGGUCUUCGGAUCGUAAAACUCUGUUAUUAGGGAAGAACAAAUGUGUAAGUAACUAUGCACGUCUUGACGGUACCUAAUCAGAAAGCCACGGCUAACUACGUG
This 497-nucleotide ribosomal RNA is filed under the name uncultured bacterium. Its description in RNAcentral is "partial 16S ribosomal RNA". It matches the Rfam family "Bacterial small subunit ribosomal RNA", at positions 28 to 507 of the family's 1533-position model. The record is from RNAcentral.